AAAGGUUUUAACAAACGUAAUCCCUUAUACUGGGUGGUGUACCCCCAUGAACCAAAAUUUGCAAACACACAAUAAAUAAGUACAAGGAAACACCAAAGACCACAAUAAAACAUGAAGCUGCACUCGACUCAAGACCCAAAUGAAAAUCCAAACCAUCCCAACAACAACAAAUAAGACCACAAGAGACACAUUGCUUAUAUCUAUCAUAUCUAUUGGAUCAGACAGAAACAACGAAUGCUAUUAACCUUUCAAAAAAAAAAAACUGACCGACAAU
Molecule: unclassified non-coding RNA, 274 nt
Filed under: Hevea brasiliensis (rubber tree)
Lineage: Eukaryota; Viridiplantae; Streptophyta; Magnoliopsida; Malpighiales; Euphorbiaceae
Source: RNAcentral